RNAcentral lists this ribosomal RNA (220 nucleotides) under uncultured bacterium. Its description in RNAcentral is "partial 16S ribosomal RNA". It matches the Rfam family "Bacterial small subunit ribosomal RNA", at positions 57 to 305 of the family's 1533-position model. The record is from RNAcentral.
GCAAGUCGAGCGCUACCUUCGGGUCUAGCGGCGGACGGGUUAGUAACGCGUGGGAAUGUACCCUUCUCUACGGAAUAGCCUCGGGAAACUGAGAGUAAUACCGUAUACGCCCUUCGGGGGAAAGAUUUAUCGGAGAAGGAUCAGCCCGCGUUAGAUUAGAUAGUUGGUGGGGUAACGGCCUACCAAGCCUACGAUCUAUAGCUGGUUUGAGAGGAUGAUC